UACGUAGGGGGCAAGCGUUGUCCGGAAUUAUUGGGCGUAAAGCGCACGUAGGCGGACUAUUAAGUCAGGGGUGAAAUCCCGGGGCUCAACCCCGGAACUGCCUUUGAUACUGGUAGUCUCGAGUCCGGAAGAGGUGAGUGGAAUUCCGAGUGUAGAGGUGAAAUUCGUAGAUAUUCGGAGGAACACCAGUGGCGAAGGCGGCUCACUGGUCCGGUACUGACGCUGAGGUGCGAAAGCGUGGGGAGCAAACAGG
This 253-nucleotide ribosomal RNA is filed under the name uncultured bacterium. RNAcentral describes it as "partial 16S ribosomal RNA". It matches the Rfam family "Bacterial small subunit ribosomal RNA", at positions 524 to 776 of the family's 1533-position model. The record is from RNAcentral.